UACGUAGGGUGCGAGCGUUAAUCGGAAUUACUGGGCGUAAAGCGUGCGCAGGCGGUCUGUUAAGACCGAUGUGAAAUCCCCGGGCUUAACCUGGGAACUGCAUUGGUGACUGGCAGGCUUUGAGUGUGGCAGAGGGAGGUAGAAUUCCACGUGUAGCAGUGAAAUGCGUAGAUAUGUGGAGGAACACCGAUGGCGAAGGCAGCCCCCUGGGAUAACACUGACGCUCAUGCACGAAAGCGUGGGGAGCAAACAGG
This 254-nucleotide ribosomal RNA is filed under the name uncultured bacterium. RNAcentral's name for it is "partial 16S ribosomal RNA". It matches the Rfam family "Bacterial small subunit ribosomal RNA", at positions 524 to 776 of the family's 1533-position model. The record is from RNAcentral.